UAAAAGAGACCAUGGGAAGUUGUAGUAUGUUCCCGAUGCUGAAGAUAGCUGAACAGUGAGUUCUUCAAUCCCAGGUGUAAGCUGAACAGUGAGUUCUUCAAUCCCAGGUGUAAGCUGAACAGUGAGUUCUUCAAUCUCAGGUGUAACAGCUGUCUGAAGCCACCUAUCAACAUUGCUGACCAUGGCAUUGGAAUAACGGAAAACAAUCCUGAGUGUCUUCACACCAAUGCGUGAGCGGUUUUUUAAGAUG
This 250-nucleotide long non-coding RNA is filed under the name Triticum aestivum (bread wheat). Its description in RNAcentral is "long non-coding RNA (TAES_LNC005851)". The record is from RNAcentral. Lineage: Eukaryota; Viridiplantae; Streptophyta; Magnoliopsida; Poales; Poaceae.